This 433-nucleotide ribosomal RNA is filed under the name uncultured bacterium. Its description in RNAcentral is "partial 16S ribosomal RNA". It matches the Rfam family "Bacterial small subunit ribosomal RNA", at positions 29 to 507 of the family's 1533-position model. The record is from RNAcentral.
AACGAACGCUGGCGGCAUGCCUAACACAUGCAAGUCGAACGAUCCCUUCGGGGAUAGUGGCGCACGGGUGCGUAACGCGUGGGAACCUGCCCUUAGGUUCGGAAUAACUCAGAGAAAUUUGAGCUAAUACCGGAUAAUGUCUUCGGACCAAAGAUUUAUCGCCUUUGGAUGGGCCCGCGUUGGAUUAGCUAGUUGGUGGGGUAAAGGCCUACCAAGGCGACGAUCCAUAGCUGGUCUGAGAGGAUGAUCAGCCACACUGGGACUGAGACACGGCCCAGACUCCUACGGGAGGCAGCAGUGGGGAAUAUUGGACAAGGGGCGAAAGCCUGAUCCAGCAAUGCCGCGUGAGUGAUGAAGGCCUUAGGGUUGUAAAGCUCUUUUACCCGGGGUGAUAAUGACAGUACCGGGAGAAUAAGCCCCGGCUAACUCCGUG